GACGAACGCUGGCGGCGUGCCUAAUCCAUGCAAGUCGAACGAACUCUGGUAUUGAUUGGUGCUUGCAUCAUGAUUUACAUUUGAGUGAGUGGCGAACUGGUGAGUAACACGUGGGAAACCUGCCCAGAAGCGGGGGAUAACACCUGGAAACAGAUGCUAAUACCGCAUAACAACUUGGACCGCAUGGUCCGAGUUUGAAAGAUGGCUUCGGCUAUCACUUUUGGAUGGUCCCGCGGCGUAUUAGCUAGAUGGUGAGGUAACGGCUCACCAUGGCAAUGAUACGUAGCCGACCUGAGAGGGUAAUCGGCCACAUUGGGACUGAGACACGGCCCAAACUCCUACGGGAGGCAGCAGUAGGGAAUCUUCCACAAUGGACGAAAGUCUGAUGGAGCAACGCCGCGUGAGUGAAGAAGGGUUUCGGCUCGUAAAACUCUGUUGUUAAAGAAGAACAUAUCUGAGAGUAACUGUUCAGGUAUUGACGGUAUUUAACCAGAAAGCCACGGCUAACUACGUGCCAGCAGCCGCGGUAAUACGUAGGUGGCAAGCGUUGUCCGGAUUUAUUGGGCGUAAAGCGAGCGCAGGCGGUUUUUUAAGUCUGAUGUGAAAGCCUUCGGCUCAACCGAAGGAGUGCAUCGGAAACUGGGAAACUUGAGUGCAGAAGAGGACAGUGGAACUCCAUGUGUAGCGGUGAAAUGCGUAGAUAUAUGGAAGAACACCAGUGGCGAAGGCGGCUGUCUGGUCUGUAACUGACGCUGAGGCUCGAAAGUAUGGGUAGCAAACAGGAUUAGAUACCCUGGUAGUCCAUACCGUAAACGAUGAAUGCUAAGUGUUGGAGGGUUUCCGCCCUUCAGUGCUGCAGCUAACGCAUUAAGCAUUCCGCCUGGGGAGUACGGCCGCAAGGCUGAAACUCAAAGGAAUUGACGGGGGCCCGCACAAGCGGUGGAGCAUGUGGUUUAAUUCGAAGCUACGCGAAGAACCUUACCAGGUCUUGACAUACUAUGCAAAUCUAAGAGAUUAGACGUUCCCUUCGGGGACAUGGAUACAGGUGGUGCAUGGUUGUCGUCAGCUCGUGUCGUGAGAUGUUGGGUUAAGUCCCGCAACGAGCGCAACCCUUAUUAUCAGUUGCCAGCAUUAAGUUGGGCACUCUGGUGAGACUGCCGGUGACAAACCGGAGGAAGGUGGGGAUGACGUCAAAUCAUCAUGCCCCUUAUGACCUGGGCUACACACGUGCUACAAUGGAUGGUACAACGAGUUGCGAACUCGCGAGAGUAAGCUAAUCUCUUAAAGCCAUUCUCAGUUCGGAUUGUAGGCUGCAACUCGCCUACAUGAAGUCGGAAUCGCUAGUAAUCGCGGAUCAGCAUGCCGCGGUGAAUACGUUCCCGGGCCUUGUACACACCGCCCGUCACACCAUGAGAGUUUGUAACACCCAAAGUCGGUGGGGUAACCUUUUAGGAACCAGCCGCCUAAGGUGGGACAGAUGAUUAGGGUG
This 1489-nucleotide ribosomal RNA is filed under the name Lactiplantibacillus plantarum. RNAcentral describes it as "bacterial SSU rRNA". It matches the Rfam family "Bacterial small subunit ribosomal RNA". The record is from RNAcentral. Lineage: Bacteria; Bacillati; Bacillota; Bacilli; Lactobacillales; Lactobacillaceae.